Molecule: small RNA, 704 nt
Filed under: Pongo abelii (Sumatran orangutan)
Lineage: Eukaryota; Metazoa; Chordata; Mammalia; Primates; Hominidae
Description: processed transcript
Source: RNAcentral
CUCUUUGCAAGGGCCUGCGGCCUCCGUUUUGGGAACUUGAGUCCAAUUCUGUUACCCAGCAAUCAGAGAGAUUGCUAACUAAACUUUAACACAGUUGGUUGUGUUCUUGUUAACCUCAGAGAGGCCUCUUUUUCCUGAAAGUUAACUGGUCCCAUUAUUUGAAAGGAAAUUUUAAGAACCUGAACACCUACAGGAUUCAGAUUCUAUUAAAAAGCAAAAAUAUUUUUCCCACUUUUAUAUAAUCUCAGUGCUGUGGAAUGGCUUCCUGCUUUGGUGCCUUACUCAAUCUCUGUUCCUGGGAGCACCUUUUCCAAGCUGGCUUCAUGGUUUGCUCAGAAUUCUCGGGGCAGCACAGUUCCAGGGAGGGGAGCUGGCACUGUCUGCAUUCUUAGUGCUAGUAUUUCUGUGGCUGCACAGCUUACGAAGACUCUUCGAGUGCCUCUACGUCAGUGUCUUCUCCAAUGUCAUGAUUCACGUCGUGCAGUACUGUUUUGGACUUGUCUAUUAUGUCCUUGUUGGCCUAACUGUGCUGAGCCAAGUGCCAAUGGAUGGCAGGAAUGGAGUGAUCAUUCACUGUAACCACAGGAUCCCAUUUGGAGACUGGUUUGAAUAUGUUUCUUCCCCUAACUACUUAGCAGAGCUGAUGAUCUAUGUUUCCAUGGCUGUUACCUUUGGGUUCCACAACUUAACUUGGUGGCUAGUGG